Long non-coding RNA from Apus apus (common swift), 1075 nucleotides. RefSeq lists it as uncharacterized. Lineage: Eukaryota; Metazoa; Chordata; Aves; Apodiformes; Apodidae. The record is from RefSeq and is a predicted model, not a curated record. The transcript is spliced from 3 exons.
CUGGAGCUUUGUAUCCUGGAGAUGACAGUGAUGAAUAAUGGUGCAUACAGCAGAUCUGCACCAGUCCUCAAAAGCUAGGUGCUUACAGCACACCGUGAACAUUUUGUGUAUCGCAGUAGAAACUAGUUGUCGCAUCUCGGCACCUAUGGAGUAUUUUCAGUACUCUGAAUACACGUCUUAUCAAUGCACCCUUGAAAUACCACGACAUAGUGAUGGUGAAGUAAAAUAAAUGGGAAGGAUAACAGAAAAAGCUGCCACUUGCAAGACAAAAAAAGAAACGAGGUGCUUCCGUCCGUACAGUUUACGCAUGUGACUCAGGAACAAGGCUGGUGGCCAAACACUGCCUGGUUGCGCCUAUCGAGUGUCCCUGCAUUGGGAGGGAAUGUCCUGAGGAGCUGGCUGGCCACUGACAUUUGGAAAAUGAAUGAAUUGUGCUUGCCAGGUGCUUGAGAACAACAUUUGGCACGAAAUAGCUGGCAUGAAAUAGCUGACAUGAGCUUGCAGGCUGUGUUAUUAUUCCCUAUUCUUCUAGACCUUCUCAUUGUAUCAGGGGACUAAACACAAGCCUGUUUCAGAGGACAUCAAAUAUAGCAAGGGGGAUGGUUACAGACCUAUUUACAGUAUAUUAAUUGUAUUAACAUAUUUAACAUUGUAUGGGGUAUUAUCCCAAACGAUGGCAGUAGUGGAAACCUGAAAAGCAUUUGGAGAAGACACUGUGGAGACACUGGGAAAAGCUGAGAAGAGCUAAGGAAAUUCCAGUGGAUCGAAGUGCUGGGGACAGCACCCUUCUUAGACCUCUCUGAGACAUCCCAUCCAGGUGGUAUUUCAGUGGCAAAACCAGCUCUUUGCCCAUCUCUGUCAAACACUGCUAUUGAGGAGGAAGGGGUAGGACUUUCACCCCUACUACUCUGACUAGAGGAUCCAAGUCUUCACUUGUCUAUUAGGAUUUUUUUUUUUCUUUCCUGUUCUGCAUUUAAUGCAACGCCAGCAUUGCUCCUUAGUGUAAGUAGCUCCUUCCCUCCAUCACCUUUGUAAAUCUGAGGUAUCCCUGGAAAGCAAUUUAUUUUUGCUGGGC